ACUCUAUCUGGUCUGUAAAUAGACACACAAUGUAGGGAUUAUUAGAAUGUCCUGCAGGUUAAACUCUAUCUGGUCUGUAAAUAGACACACAAUGUAGGGAUUAUUAGCAUGUCCUGCAGGUUAAACUCUAUCUGGUCUGCAAAUAGACACACAAUGUAGUGA
This is a long non-coding RNA of Dreissena polymorpha, 162 nucleotides long. RefSeq lists it as uncharacterized. Lineage: Eukaryota; Metazoa; Mollusca; Bivalvia; Myida; Dreissenidae. The transcript has 3 exons. The record is from RefSeq and is a predicted model, not a curated record.